Molecule: ribosomal RNA, 544 nt
Filed under: Hylomyscus sp. 10 VN-2012
Lineage: Eukaryota; Metazoa; Chordata; Mammalia; Rodentia; Muridae
Description: partial 16S ribosomal RNA
Rfam family: Bacterial large subunit ribosomal RNA
Source: RNAcentral
CACCUCUAGCAUUUCAAGUAUUAGAGGCAUUGCCUGCCCAGUGACUAUAGUUAAACGGCCGCGGUAUCCUGACCGUGCAAAGGUAGCAUAAUCAUUUGUUCCUUAAUUAGGGACUAGUAUGAACGGCUAGACGAGGGUUCAACUGUCUCUUAUUUUUAAUCAGUGAAAUUGACCCUCCAGUGAAGAGGCUGGAAUAUAACAAUAAGACGAGAAGACCCUAUGGAGCUUAAAUUAAUAGCUUAAUUACUGUUUUACUACCCUAUAUGGCAUAAGACAAAAAUUAUAAGCUUAAAAUUUUGGUUGGGGUGACCUCGGAGAAUAAAAUAUCCUCCGAACGAUAAAUAACUUAGACUCACAAGUCAAAGUAGCCUAACUAACUAUCUAAUUGACCCAAAAAUUGAUCAACGGACCAAGUUACCCUAGGGAUAACAGCGCAAUCCUAUUUAAGAGUCCAUAUCGACAAUAGGGUUUACGACCUCGAUGUUGGAUCAGGACAUCCCAAUGGUGCAGAAGCUAUUAAUGGUUCGUUUGUUCAACGAUUAAA